RNAcentral lists this ribosomal RNA (439 nucleotides) under uncultured bacterium. RNAcentral's name for it is "partial 16S ribosomal RNA". It matches the Rfam family "Bacterial small subunit ribosomal RNA", at positions 339 to 795 of the family's 1533-position model. The record is from RNAcentral.
CUACGGGUCGCAGCAGUGGGGAAUAUUGCACAAUGGGGGAAACCCUGAUGCAGCAACGCCGCGUGGAGGAUGACGCAUUUCGGUGUGUAAACUCCUUUUAUAUAGGAAGAUAAUGACGGUACUAUAUGAAUAAGCACCGGCUAACUCCGUGCCAGCAGCCGCGGUAAUACGGAGGGUGCAAGCGUUACUCGGAAUCACUGGGCGUAAAGCGCGCGCAGGCGGUUUGAUAAGUUGGAUGUGAAAGCCUACUGCUCAACCGUAGAACUGCAUCCAAAACUGUCAAACUAGAGUCUGGGAGGGGAAGAUGGAAUUAGUUGUGUAGGGGUAAAAUCCGUAGAGAUAACUAGGAAUACCAAAAGCGAAGGCGAUCUUCUGGAACAGUACUGACGCUGAGGCGCGAAAGCGUGGGGAGCAAACAGGAUUAGAUACCCGCGUAGUC